GCUGGAUGUGGUGGUGCACAUCUGUAAUCCCAGGACUUGUGAGGCCAAGGCAGGAGGAUCACAAGUUUGAGGCCAGCCUCAGCAACUUAAGGAGAACCUGUCUUUA
RNAcentral lists this small RNA (106 nucleotides) under Marmota monax (woodchuck). Lineage: Eukaryota; Metazoa; Chordata; Mammalia; Rodentia; Sciuridae. The record is from RNAcentral.